RNAcentral lists this transfer RNA (87 nucleotides) under Cloacimonadales bacterium (SeqCode). RNAcentral's name for it is "tRNA-Leu". It matches the Rfam family "tRNA". Rfam says of the family: Transfer RNA (tRNA) molecules are approximately 80 nucleotides in length. Their secondary structure includes four short double-helical elements and three loops (D, anti-codon, and T loops). The record is from RNAcentral. Lineage: Bacteria; Pseudomonadati; Candidatus Cloacimonadota; Cloacimonadia (SeqCode); Cloacimonadales (SeqCode).
GCGAAAGUGGUGGAAUUGGUAGACACGCAGGAUUUAGGAUCCUGUGGGAGCAAUCCUGUAGGGGUUCAAGUCCCCUCUUUCGCACCA